RNAcentral lists this long non-coding RNA (211 nucleotides) under Solanum tuberosum (potato). RNAcentral's name for it is "long non-coding RNA (STUB_LNC009866)". The record is from RNAcentral. Lineage: Eukaryota; Viridiplantae; Streptophyta; Magnoliopsida; Solanales; Solanaceae.
UUAUUGUUUGGACCUUUGUCAUUUUGUGGCAUGGAUUUUUUGUCCCUACAAGGUCCACCUGCUUGUCUUGAAUUCUGAGUUCUUGAGUUACUAAUUAUUGAAUUCUAGUUCCUAUUAUUGAGUUGCUAUAUCUUGCAUUGAGAUUCUUGAGUUGAUUGUUCAUGUCUAUUUUUCAACAUUAACCCUAUUUUCUAUGUAUUCAUUGAGUUCU